This 381-nucleotide ribosomal RNA is filed under the name Chelatococcus sp. ODB 64. RNAcentral's name for it is "bacterial SSU rRNA". It matches the Rfam family "Bacterial small subunit ribosomal RNA", at positions 373 to 771 of the family's 1533-position model. Lineage: Bacteria; Pseudomonadati; Pseudomonadota; Alphaproteobacteria; Hyphomicrobiales; Chelatococcaceae. The record is from RNAcentral.
GGGCGCAUUCCUGAUCCAGCCAUGCCGCGUGAGUGAUGAAGGCCCUAGGGUUGUAAAGCUCUUUUAUCCGGGACGAUAAUGACGGUACCGGAAGAAUAAGCCCCGGCUAACUUCGUGCCAGCAGCCGCGGGUAUACGAAGGGGGCUAGCGUUGCUCGGANUCACUGGGCGUAAAGGGCGCGUAGGCGGACGUUUAAGUCAGGGGUGAAAUCCCGGGGCUCAACCUCGGAAUUGCCUUUGAUACUGGAUGUCUCGAGACCGGAAGAGGUAAGUGGAACUGCGAGUGUAGAGGUGAAAUUCGUAGAUAUUCGCAAGAACACCAGUGGCGAAGGCGGCUUACUGGUCCGGAUCUGACNCUGAGGCGCNAAAGCNUGGGGAGCAA